This 402-nucleotide ribosomal RNA is filed under the name uncultured Hyphomicrobium sp. RNAcentral describes it as "bacterial SSU rRNA". It matches the Rfam family "Bacterial small subunit ribosomal RNA", at positions 355 to 774 of the family's 1533-position model. The record is from RNAcentral. Lineage: Bacteria; Pseudomonadati; Pseudomonadota; Alphaproteobacteria; Hyphomicrobiales; Hyphomicrobiaceae.
UGGGGAAUAUUGGACAAUGGGCGAAAGCCUGAUCCAGCCAUGCCGCGUGAGUGAUGAAGGCCUUAGGGUUGUAAAGCUCUUUUGCCGGGGACGAUAAUGACGGUACCCGGAGAAUAAGUCCCGGCUAACUUCGUGCCAGCAGCCGCGGUAAUACGAAGGGGACUAGCGUUGUUCGGAAUCACUGGGCGUAAAGCGCACGUAGGCGGAUUCGUAAGUUAGGGGUGAAAUCCCGGGGCUCAACCUCGGAACUGCCUUUGAUACUGCGGGUCUCGAGUCCGAUAGAGGUGGGUGGAAUUCCUAGUGUAGAGGUGAAAUUCGUAGAUAUUAGGAAGAACACCGGUGGCGAAGGCGGCCCACUGGAUCGGCACUGACGCUGAGGUGCGAAAGCGUGGGGAGCAAACA